This is a ribosomal RNA of Mercurialis annua (annual mercury), 121 nucleotides long. NCBI's taxonomy places the organism in Eukaryota, Viridiplantae, Streptophyta, Magnoliopsida, Malpighiales, Euphorbiaceae. The record is from RefSeq and is a predicted model, not a curated record.
GGGUGCGAUCAUACCAGCAGUACUGCACCGAAUCCCAUCAGAACUUCGAAGUCAAACGUGCUUGGGCGAGAGCAGUACUAGGAUGGGUGACCUCAUGGGGGAAGUCCUUGUGUUGCACCCC